GAGGGCAUAGCUCAAGUGGUAGAGCACAUGCUUAGCACGCAUGAGGUCCUGGGUUCAAGCCCCAGUGCCUCCU
This is a transfer RNA of Camelus ferus (Wild Bactrian camel), 73 nucleotides long. It matches the Rfam family "tRNA". Rfam says of the family: Transfer RNA (tRNA) molecules are approximately 80 nucleotides in length. Their secondary structure includes four short double-helical elements and three loops (D, anti-codon, and T loops). NCBI's taxonomy places the organism in Eukaryota, Metazoa, Chordata, Mammalia, Artiodactyla, Camelidae. The record is from Rfam.